AAAGUGUAAAUAUUGGAGGGACUUAUCAUGUAAAUAUUAAUUACACUUUAGUCCUUGGAGAGUAGUAUAAAUAGAGGUGCCACCAUUUGCAAAGGCACCAAGCAAGUUUGUAAGCAAUCUUCCAAAGCUCAAUACAAAGCCUUCUUCAAAAAGCUCUCUUUGUUCUUUCCAAAACUUCCCUUAAACAUUCUCUUAGCAAACC
Molecule: long non-coding RNA, 202 nt
Filed under: Solanum tuberosum (potato)
Lineage: Eukaryota; Viridiplantae; Streptophyta; Magnoliopsida; Solanales; Solanaceae
Description: long non-coding RNA (STUB_LNC011053)
Source: RNAcentral